This is a ribosomal RNA of 404 nucleotides. It matches the Rfam family "Bacterial small subunit ribosomal RNA", at positions 355 to 774 of the family's 1533-position model.
UGGGGGAUAUUGCACAAUGGAGGAAACUCUGAUGCAGCAACGCCGCGUGAAGGAAGAAGGCCUUCGGGUUGUAAACUUCUGUCUUUGGUGACGAAACAAUGACGGUAGCCAAGGAGGAAGCCACGGCUAACUACGUGCCAGCAGCCGCGGUAAUACGUAGGUGGCAAGCGUUGUCCGGAAUUACUGGGUGUAAAGGGUGCGUAGGCGGUCUUUAAAGUCAGAUGUGAAAUGCCGCAGCUUAACUGCGGAGCUGCAUUUGAAACUUAAAGACUUGAGUGGAGUAGAGGUAAGCGGAAUUUCUAGUGUAGCGGUGAAAUGCGUAGAUAUUAGAAGGAACACCAGUGGCGAAGGCGGCUUACUGGGCUUUAACUGACGCUGAGGCACGAAAGCAUGGGUAGCAAACA